CUACGUAGGGAGCGAGCGUUGUCCGGAAUUACUGGGCGUAAAGGGCGCGUAGGCGGCGCUUCAAGUCGUCUGUCAAAUGGGAGGGCUUAACCCUUUUUCGCAGACGAAACUGGAGAGCUUGAGAAGCAGAGAGGCAAACAGAAUUCCUGGUGUAGCGGUGAAAUGCGUAGAUAUCAGGAAGAAUACCAGUGGCGAAGGCGGUUUGCUGGCUGCAUACUGACGCUGAAGCGCGAAAGCCAGGGGAGCAAACGGGAUUAGAUACCCCGGUAGUCCUGGCAGUAAACGAUGUAUGCUGGGUGUGAGACUAGCGAUAGUUUCGUGCCGAAGUUAACGCGAUAAGCAUACCGCCUGGGGAGUACGGUCGCAAGAAUGAAACUCAAAGGAAUUGACGGGG
RNAcentral lists this ribosomal RNA (394 nucleotides) under uncultured bacterium. Its description in RNAcentral is "partial 16S ribosomal RNA". It matches the Rfam family "Bacterial small subunit ribosomal RNA", at positions 523 to 918 of the family's 1533-position model. The record is from RNAcentral.